GGGGAUGUGGCUCAGUGGUGGAGCGCUCGCCUAGCAUGUGUGAGACCCUGGGUUCCAUCCUCAGCACCG
This 69-nucleotide transfer RNA is filed under the name Ictidomys tridecemlineatus (thirteen-lined ground squirrel). RNAcentral's name for it is "Spermophilus tridecemlineatus (thirteen-lined ground squirrel) tRNA". It matches the Rfam family "tRNA". Rfam says of the family: Transfer RNA (tRNA) molecules are approximately 80 nucleotides in length. Their secondary structure includes four short double-helical elements and three loops (D, anti-codon, and T loops). Lineage: Eukaryota; Metazoa; Chordata; Mammalia; Rodentia; Sciuridae. The record is from Rfam by way of RNAcentral.